CCGAGUCACGUGCUCAAACAACCCUUCUGUGGACCUGAAUUAAACCGUUGCCUCGGCGGGCGGUCCCCUGUACAAAAAAAAACCCACGUGGUUGUAGGCAGGGGACCAGACAGUCCGGCACGCUUAAGGCGUCCGGCGCCAGCCGCUGGCCCUAAACAAUUAAACUCUAGUAACCUUACCUUCUGAGUUUUAAUACAAAAAAUAAGUCA
RNAcentral lists this unclassified non-coding RNA (209 nucleotides) under uncultured Ascomycota. RNAcentral's name for it is "sequence contains ITS1". Lineage: Eukaryota; Fungi; Ascomycota. The record is from RNAcentral.